AGAUCCACGCUACCUGAAAGAAGGCCGCCUUCUGAAUCCAACGAUACCAGUUAUGUGCACAUCGGACCUACGCUUCAAAAGAUACGGACAGAUCCACGCUACCUGAAAGAAGGCCGCCUUCUGAAUCCAACGAUACCAGUUAUGUGCACAUCGGACCUACGCUUCAAAAGAUACGGACAGAUCCACGCUACCUGAAAGAAGGCCGCCUUCUGAAUCCAACGAUACCAGUUAUGUGCACAUCGGACCUACGCUUCAAAAGAUACGGACAGAUCCACGCUACCUGAAAGAAGGCCGCCUUCUGAAUCCAACGAUACCAGUUAUGUGCACAUCGGACCUACGCUUCAAAAGAUACGGACAGAUCCACGCUACCUGAAAGAAGGCCGCCUUCUGAAUCCAACGAUACCAGUUAUGUGCACAUCGGACCUACGCUUCAAAAGAUACGGACAGAUCCACGCUACCUGAAAGAAGGCCGCCUUCUGAAUCCAACGAUACCAGUUAUGUGCACAUCGGACCUACGCUUCAAAAGAUACGGACAGAUCCACGCUACCUGAAAGAAGGCCGCCUUCUGAAUCCAACGAUACCAGUUAUGUGCACAUCGGACCUACGCUUCAAAAGAUACGGACAGAUCCACGCUACCUGAAAGAAGGCCGCCUUCUGAAUCCAACGAUACCAGUUAUGUGCACAUCGGACCUACGCUUCAAAAGAUACGGACAGAUCCACGCUACCUGAAGAAGGCCGCCUUCUGAAUCCAACGAUACCAGUUAUGUGCACAUCGGACCUACGCUUCAAAAGAUACGGACAGCUCACUGGCUCUGCUUCGGUGACAUCACUGAAGGUGAGACUGCUCCCCCCCCCCACUGUUACUGUAUCAACUGAGUGGAGGUGACAGUGAAAUCAAAGCUGUCCUUUGGGAUUUUUCAUCAAAGUUUCACAUCUGACCCGGACCCUCACUUACUUCGAGUCCUUUUGCAAUGGCUGAACAAGCUGAGAGGAGAAAAGCUGACCGGCGCUUCACUGCUUGGUUUGGCACAGACCGCAGGAGAACCUACCUGUCCACCUGGCGAGAAACAGCACGCCGGAACAAAUAGCCUCAGAGGUUCAAAAGACGGAGUCCAGCAAGCACUGGAUGCUUAGAGCUAGGACGUGGGACCACAGCCACAUUUGUGCCCUCCAUUUGUGCAGAACCUCGCAGGAGAA
Molecule: long non-coding RNA, 1197 nt
Organism: Carassius gibelio (silver crucian carp)
Lineage: Eukaryota; Metazoa; Chordata; Actinopteri; Cypriniformes; Cyprinidae
Exons: 11
Source: RefSeq, a predicted model, not a curated record